Molecule: long non-coding RNA, 1327 nt
Filed under: Capra hircus (goat)
Lineage: Eukaryota; Metazoa; Chordata; Mammalia; Artiodactyla; Bovidae
Description: lncRNA (ENSCHIG00000001041.1)
Source: RNAcentral
UACAGUUGCUGUUACUUUGAUCUGUCUUGGGAGGUGCCUCAGAACACCACUGCUCUCUUUCAGGGAGCCACUCAGGGAAAUGGGGUGAGAAGGGAGCUCUCAGAAACUUGGAAAACUUAACUUCUGUGGGAUCCCUCAGAAGGCAUGUGGCUGCAUCCCACCAGGCUGAAGGUAGGGGGCGCCAGGGGGCUGGGUCCUGUAAGGUUGGAGCUGGGGGCUGGGAUUCACCAAAGAGAAACAAAAGAAACUGGAAGCCGUUAUCACGGGCCGGGCUGUCCUCGGGGAACAUUCUGGGAAGAAAGGAGAAAGCCCCGCUGGCUGGGAGCAGCCAUGCGGGGGGGAUCUGAAGUGACAGGAAAGGUUCCUCCCGCGUCUAUAGAGGCGGGGAACAAAGAACGGAUUCACUACACUACACGAUGAUCCUGUCUUGGUGCCUGGUACAGUCUCAGAGGGAAGACGGAGGGCAAGGGGACUCCUGCUCAAGGCUUUGGAGAAGGAAUAAAGGCUCCUCAAAUGUGAGGGGUUUGCUGUUUAUGCUUAUUUUGGUACUCAGAUCCAUUUAUCUGGAUCUCUAUCCAAAGUGGAGGUGGAAGAUCCGGACUCAUGUUCUGAGGUGGCUGAGGAAGUUUUAGACGGCUCCCAGGCAAGGUGACUGAGGGGGUAUUGGGUGGGACACCAAAGUCCCAGGUUUAGGGGCUCCUGUCUCUUUAGGCCAGUAGUUCUGAACCUUUCUACAGCCCCAUGUCACUCACCAUGUGUGAUACCUGGGCAGUGCUGGGGCACUCUACCAUUUAAGAGCGGAAAGCCAUGGACACAAGUGAGUGAGGAGGUCAGAUUAAAGCAAUAGUCUUGAACCAGCGCCGAUGCUGAAAAUAAGCAAAAAAUUCCCAUCCCAGCCCUCAGGCCUGCGUGCUUAGUUGCGAAGUUUUGUCUGAUUCUUUGUGACCCCAUGGACUGUAGCCCCGCCAGGCUCCUCUGUCAUGGGAUUUCUUAGGCAAGAAUACUGGAGUGGGUUGCCACUUCCUUUUCCAAGGGAUCUUCCUGACCACAGGACUAAUUCUCUAAUCUCAGGAAUUUGUUGGGCAUGAAUUUCGUAGGCUUGGUUAAUUGAAACAUAAUUGAUUGACAAUGUUGUGCCAAUCUUUGUCUGUUGUAUAGCAAAGUGACUCAGUUAUACACACACAGAUAUUCUUAUAUAUUUAAGAAAUCUAAAAUAUGGCACAAAUGAACCAUCUACAGAACAUAACAGACAUAGAGAACAGACUUGUAGUUACCAAGGGGGAGGAAAGUAGGGGAGGGAAGGACUGGGAGUAUGGGAUUAGCAGAU